Long non-coding RNA from Homo sapiens (human), 1912 nucleotides. The record is from Ensembl. Lineage: Eukaryota; Metazoa; Chordata; Mammalia; Primates; Hominidae.
GCCUAUAUGUAUCUCCAGAGGUGAGAUGUGUUUCUGGUGGGCGGCAUACAGUGAGGGGGAAGUUGAAAAUACAUGAGAAAACCUCCAUAGUUGAUACCAUAGGAUUUCUGAAAGGAGCCCUAUGGAGAGAGUGGGCUUUAAUAGGAAGAACACUUUCUCCCCUGGAGGAAAAAGCUGCAUGUAAACCCUGGUAGUUUGUAGGUGUGGCAAUGGACAGGACCAUGGCUUCUGUGCUGAAGAAAGCAAACACCAGACGCAUCAGGCCAUGGAUACAGGUCUUUUAAGGAAGCAGUUUCUACUCUAUGCAUGAAACUUGUUUGGAUUGAAACCCAGUUUCAAAGCAUCCUCUGUGUAAACUGAUGAGCACAGGGUUUUGGCACUGUCUCCCUGUGUGCUUGAUAUCCAGAUUUACUGUCUGAUCUUGGAUAUAUUUCAAUGAAAUGAGACCUCUAAUAGUAGAGGAAUAGAUAUUUGUGAAACAGUAUGACAGUGAUAGCAAUUAUUAUAAAAACAAGAAGCACUGCAUAAAUGCCUUAUACAGUAAUAAUUGCGAGAUUUAAUUUGGAGUGGCUUUUCCUUAUUUGCCCAAUAAGUUCUAUUUAAUUAUUUGCUGUGGCAUUAAACUUCCAAGGGGAGCUAGGCAUGGUCUCCACCUGUUUUAAAUACUGUGUGUCUCAAUCACAAACUUAACCUUGUGAAACAUUAGAGUCUCAGUAUCCAUGUUAAAGCUAAUGUUUAACUGGAAAAUGCAUCAGUUAAAUUUAUCUUUUAGAUUUUAUGUAACAUGCUUGCAUGCUGGCACUUUGCAUACCAUUAACAGAAACUAGAAUCCUAUUCUUCUUUUGAAAGUUCAUUUUCUUUUUCAGUACCACGAAAUACCAAACUGAACUUGACUCCAAACAUGCGCUCAGUUUCAAACUGGAUAUGAAGACCAUUUAAGAAUCAUGUGUGAGUGAAUUUCAUUGAAAGAGAAGAAACAUUUAAAAACUUUUAAGUCCUUUCUGAAUUGCUUAUACAUAUAUUCAGCAAUUCAGUGAUGCAGCCUGGAUGUGCACAGACUUGGGUAAUUGGUAUAGCUUCAAGUGGACAUUAUUCUUCUUAUAACAAUACUGCAUUUUCCUCCCUCAAACACUAACCUGCUAUAUUUACAAUUACAUUUGUUGCCAAAUAUAUUAAGUGGACAAAUGGGUCACUGUCUGCCUGCAUUUUUCUGACCCAGUCACAAUUCAUCAAGAAAAACAAAGUUUGGCUGGGAUUCUGAAACAAGCACACUAAGCUGUAAAUGUAUACUUAUGUUUGCAUGUUAGAAUACAUCUUAGUUACACGAUAAAAAGGAGCAGGGGAGAGGUGGGUGCUUGGAAGUAAAAAUGUGACCACAAUGAAAUUUUGACUGCAGCAUUUGAGGAAUGGUGGCAGAGCAGUUGGCAUCAGCUCUUGUCUGCAGCAGUAAUCAGGGCAAAGAAGCAAUCUUCUGUGACCCCAAACUAAGAAUGGAGUCUUGCUUUGAGAAACUCAUGCUUACCAGUUCAGAAGUAACAUGCUAUAGAGAUUUUCAGAAUACUAAUCUAUCUCAGAUUAGUGUAUUAUAAAAUAAAAGUGGACAAAUAUAAAUAAAUAAUUUUUUCAAGUCUUUAUAAAAAUAGUAGGCUAUUGCCUCAUUUUAGGGACAUAAUUUUUAAUGCCAAGUGAAAACUAUGUAGAAAUUCUAAUUACAAAUUUGUGUACAGCUUUACAAUUAUUGUAUGUGUUAGAUGUGCAUGUGUUGAACGUUACUAUAUAUCAUGCUUUGUGCUGCUCAUCGAACAUAUGAAGUUGCAUAAAACAGUCUUUGCUUUUGGGAGACUAAGUUCAGUGUGAGGGGCAGACACUAAAAGUAAAUACUCCGAUAACUGACGAGAGGGUGAAUACCAUA